Molecule: non-coding RNA, 72 nt
Organism: Tritrichomonas musculus
Lineage: Eukaryota; Parabasalia; Tritrichomonadida; Tritrichomonadidae
Source: the annotation of a GenBank genome assembly
GGGACAAUAGUCUAAAGGUUAGGAUUUAAGACUGUCACUCUUAAGGUCCGGGUUCGAUUCCCGGUUGGCCCG